This 253-nucleotide ribosomal RNA is filed under the name uncultured bacterium. RNAcentral's name for it is "partial 16S ribosomal RNA". It matches the Rfam family "Bacterial small subunit ribosomal RNA", at positions 524 to 776 of the family's 1533-position model. RNAcentral also lists the same sequence under 1 other name. The record is from RNAcentral.
UACGAAGGGGGCUAGCGUUGUUCGGAAUUACUGGGCGUAAAGGGCGCGUAGGCGGUGUGUCAAGUCAGGCGUGAAAGCCCCGGGCUCAACCUGGGAACCGCGCUUGAGACUGGCACGCUAGAGUUCGGGAGAGGAUGGUGGAAUUCCCAGUGUAGAGGUGAAAUUCGUAGAUAUUGGGAAGAACACCGAUGGCGAAGGCAGCCAUCUGGACCGACACUGACGCUGAGGCGCGAAAGCGUGGGGAGCAAACAGG